UCCUUGGUGGUCGAGUGGUUAAGACUCUGCAUUUCCAAUGCAGGGGGCACAGGUUUGAUCCCUGGUCUGGGAG
This 73-nucleotide transfer RNA is filed under the name Bos taurus (domestic cattle). It matches the Rfam family "tRNA". From Rfam's summary of the family: Transfer RNA (tRNA) molecules are approximately 80 nucleotides in length. Their secondary structure includes four short double-helical elements and three loops (D, anti-codon, and T loops). Further hydrogen bonds mediate the characteristic L-shaped molecular structure. tRNAs have two regions of fundamental functional importance: the anti-codon, which is responsible for specific mRNA codon recognition, and the 3' end, to which the tRNAs corresponding amino acid is attached (by aminoacyl-tRNA synthetases). tRNAs cope with the degeneracy of the genetic code in two manners: having more than one tRNA (with a specific anti-codon) for a particular amino acid; and 'wobble' base-pairing, i.e. permitting non-standard base-pairing at the 3rd anti-codon position. Lineage: Eukaryota; Metazoa; Chordata; Mammalia; Artiodactyla; Bovidae. The record is from Rfam by way of RNAcentral. RNAcentral also lists the same sequence under 2 other names.